RNAcentral lists this long non-coding RNA (395 nucleotides) under Homo sapiens (human). RNAcentral's name for it is "non-protein coding LINC01649:12". The record is from RNAcentral. Lineage: Eukaryota; Metazoa; Chordata; Mammalia; Primates; Hominidae.
CCCAGAUCUGGUGGAAAGAGACGUGAGGAAGAUCUUGGGAUUUUACUUUGUGUCAGCCAAGAGGCUUUCCUUACCUCCUUGUCUUCAGUACUCUUGUGCACAAGCAUGCUUCUCAGAGAAGGUGGAUUCUACCUUGGAAGGAAAUGAGUCGUUUCCUCCCAUCAGGACAACUGCCACAGCAUGGUGUCAACUCACUCUUGCCUUUCGUAAAUUGAGUUUGUCAGUGCUCAGCGACACAGCUGAGUGAAAUGUUGUGUGAUGCGGGCUGUCUCCUGGGAGAGAGAAACUGGCAUAAACCACAUCCUAAUGGGAUCCAGAAACAAAGAAGCGUGAAUGAAGUGUUAAUUGCAUUCAUAAAGACAUUAACAAAGGAAUUAAAAUGGCAGAAGCUUCAG